RNAcentral lists this ribosomal RNA (253 nucleotides) under uncultured bacterium. RNAcentral describes it as "partial 16S ribosomal RNA". It matches the Rfam family "Bacterial small subunit ribosomal RNA", at positions 524 to 776 of the family's 1533-position model. The record is from RNAcentral.
UACGGGGGGGGCAAGCGUUGUUCGGAAUUACUGGGCGUAAAGGGCUCGUAGGCGGCCAACUAAGUCAGACGUGAAAUCCCCAGGCUCAACCUGGGAACUGCGUCUGAUACUGGAUGGCUUGAAUCCGGGAGAGGGAUGCAGAAUUCCAGGUGUAGCGGUGAAAUGCGUAGAUAUCUGGAGGAAUACCGGUGGCGAAGGCAGCCUCCUGGGCCAGCACUGACGCUCAUGCACGAAAGCGUGGGGAGCAAACAGG